Triticum aestivum (bread wheat) is the source of this 115-nucleotide non-coding RNA. The record is from Rfam. NCBI's taxonomy places the organism in Eukaryota, Viridiplantae, Streptophyta, Magnoliopsida, Poales, Poaceae.
GAAGUACUCCCUCCGUUCGGAAUUACUUGUCUCGGAAAUGGAUGUAUCUAGAACUAAAAUACGUCUAGAUACAUCCAUUUUCGCGACAAUUAAUUCCGAACGGAGGGAGUAGUAG